GCCGGUGGCUAGGGUUGUUAAGAGCCUGUCUGCCACCCCACAGUUCACACUUCAGCCAUCUCACCCUGGAGCUGCUCAGAGUCCUGCUAGCUUUUCCUUCCGGUUAGCAGACUCCCAUCCCAAAACCCUAAGAAAAGCCUCAAGCUGAGCUGCCACCCCAAGCAACCUCCUCCGGUUGUAGCACUAAAACUAGUAGCUAAAGCCUGGAACGGAGCGUAAAGGAGAGGGGUUUCCAUUCCCAGAGUGGCUUCGCAGACUGAAAAUGAUCUGCUUGGCUGGCCGCAGGACGGUUCCUGCGCGCCCAGCAAGGACAGAGAUUAAGAUUAAGGCCCCUCCUGCCUUAAAUAUGGGUGCCCUGAGAACUGGGAGGCGCCAUCUGCCCGAGCCAGGUCCCUCCCAGCUUCACCAAUUCAUCGUCAAGCCCUCGGUUUCACCAUUUCCUGGGAGCUGAGGUAUGGAAAGUCACGGCAUUUGGGAGUGCGUCUGAAUACAGACCGGAAUAAAGGCUACUUUUAAAGCGUGCUGGAGAGGUCGUGAUGCAGAGUGUUUGCUGAUAAUUACACAGCCAGACUCCUGAUGACAGUUGUCUGCAGCAGCUGUCUGCCAAGCCAGAGAGGAGGGGAAUGGGAACAGAGAAAGGCUGAUUUACAGGGACACUCAGAGCUUUGAAGGCUGACUCCUACCUUGGCCUUGCCGGUCAUGCCCAAGAAGAAGCUGAAGGUCCGUCGCAAGGAGGAGCCUGCCCCGGUCCCUGACUCCCCUUCCAGCUGGCUACCGCUGCAAAGAGACAGGGAAGAGCUGCUCUGUGGAUUCAGCUGCAGACGGGCAGCGCUGAGCUUGGCUGGGGGGCACCGGGUCCACUGGGCCGUCACCUACGAAGAACUUCUCUGGGCCCGAUCUGUUCAUGGAAGGUACACGGAGACGGCUCUGAAUCAAGAAGAAAGAGAAAGAGAAGAGUGAGCAGAGUUCUAGAACACUGGAGAAUGGUGCUACAGGACUGUAGUCUUCAAGAGGCUGAGGCAGAGGAAUGGCCCUGAGCUUGGGCCAGGCUAGGCUGAGCUGCAUGACCGUCUCCACUUCUCUGCUAACUUCUUGACUAGGCUGCUCACCACUGAUUCAAAACUAUAUGUUCGAGGAUGAGAACUUAAAGCAUAUAUGCACAUAUGCAUAUAGGCAUCAUACCACAUGUAUGUAGUUGCUGUGGAGGCCAGAAGAGAGCACAGGAUCCCAUGGAACUAGAAUUAUAGAUGGAUGCAAUCUACCAUGGAAGCACUAGAACCUGAACCCGGGUCCUCUGAAGACCAAACAAAAGGACCAGACACCAAAGAAGAGAAGACAAAUAGUCCAGAUGGUCCAGCCUCACAGACUGUUUCAGCCAGGACUUCAGUUAAGCCCUGCACUUUCCCAUCACACAGAAACUGGACAGCAAAUGUCACAGCCAGCUUUCCUGGAACUUGGCCAAUAUCUUAGUUUUCUUAGGACCUCCCAAAAGAGAACAUUGCCUGCAGACAGCAGGAAGUAAUUUUAAUAGAACAAUGUCUCAUUCCCAAAAAUUGAGGUGGAUGGUUUUGGGUUGUUUGUUGAGUGAUAGAUGUUUGUUGUCAUUUAAGGGGGGCUGGUCACAAGUUGUUAAUGGUCUUGGUCAGGGAGGAAACAAAGUAUAAGAGAUUAGAUUCAAGACCAGGCGCUGUGUUGCAGGCCUGUAAUCCCAGCACUCUGGAAGGCAGAGGCAGGCAGAUCUCUCUGAGUUUGAGGCCAGCCUGAUCAACAAAGUAAGUCCAGGACAGUCGAGGCUACACAGAGAAACCCUGUCUUGGGGGGAAAAAAAAAGGUUAGAUUCAGGGAUUUCUCUCUUUUUCUUUCCUCUAUCCUUUUUUCUCUCCUUUCUAAUAUUAGGGGAAGGGGUAAGAAAAGGGAAUGAAAAGAAAAAAAGGGUUAUAAGAAUGAUAGGAUAAAAGGGUAUGGGUUUUGUAUAGUGAUACAAAUUGAAGAUUAUAUUUUGUUACAACAUACUGUAUAUAUGUUUCAACUCUUGUUUAAGGUAUUGUGCCUAAGCAACUCAUUUAAAAAUGCAGUGUGUAGGGCUGGAGAGGUGACUCAGAGGUUAAGAACACUCACUGUUCUUCCAAAGGUCCUGAGUUCAAUUCUCAGUAACCACAUGGUGGCUCAUAACCAUUUAUAGUAAGAUAUGGUGUGCAG
Molecule: long non-coding RNA, 2199 nt
Organism: Meriones unguiculatus (Mongolian gerbil)
Lineage: Eukaryota; Metazoa; Chordata; Mammalia; Rodentia; Muridae
Exons: 7
Source: RefSeq, a predicted model, not a curated record